GAGACUCUAAAUAGAUUUCUGAAAAUAUUUCCCUGAAAUAUCCUUUUACAUAAGACAAAUUCACUAACAUUAGAUUAAGUAAAAAGAAAUAAAAGAGUUAAACAUGGCACAAAGGUGCAUGAUUAACCAAUGCUCCUCAGUCCAUCUGCAUGUCUUAGGAGCCAUUAAAAGAAUGCUUAAAACUAACAAACAAUCUUCACACUCUGUGGCAGCCAUCUGUGAAGCCAGUUACACUAAACUACUUCUACAGUUGAUUGUAAACUUUGGUUUAUUUUUAUUUGAGUUCUCAUUGUACAGCAAGCAUGAAAAAAAAAGAGAGUGGAGUCCGUGAGGAGAUGAACUGUCAGUCUGUCUUUAAUCUGGCAUGAUGAGACACCUGGUCAGUCAGGCCUGCUUUGAUAGAGUUUGUUACAGACUGCCUUAUGUUUUCCUCCAUCAAAUUAUCACCCAGGGGCUUCAUUUCCUCUUAUUCAAACCAUUUACAAUUCCUAUGAGAUGGAUGUGCAAUUCCAUACCCUAUAUGCAGCAUCAAAUCUGGUAUGUAUACAGCAUUUAUGCAGACCGGCCCAGACGGUCCUGCUUAUUGUCCUACAUGUGUAAGUGUGAACACUUCAGAUAGAGAAAAAGGUUAAAAAUACUGUCUAAUUUUUCUUCUUGUUAUUGUUGGAUGACAGUCUCUGUCGCUGUGCUGAUGAAAGAGCACGGUGAACCAUUCGACGUCUAGUAACUUCAAACAGUUUGGAAAACACCUAAAACAUGAAGUGAUUUGUUAGGAGAAUGAAUCAGAGUGCCUCGAAGCUAAAGAGUUUAAGACUACAAGAAUUUGAGACUGUAGGUUUCUCACCUUCCUGGGACUCCUCUGAAGCAAAAGAAAAGAGAAAUGCAAAGAAAUUUAGACAAGGUUUGUUGACACAGCACAGAUCUCUGACUAGCUGAUUACCUUACCUAAACUAUACUGAAAAUGAUUUUAUACACUUUAGAUUCUUCCAUUUAAUUGUUUU
This 1001-nucleotide long non-coding RNA is filed under the name Homo sapiens (human). Its description in RNAcentral is "HSALNT0030288". Lineage: Eukaryota; Metazoa; Chordata; Mammalia; Primates; Hominidae. The record is from RNAcentral.